GCUACGGCCAUACCAGCCUGGGUACGCCCGAUCUUGUCUGAUCUCGGAAGCUAAGCAGGGUCGGGCCUGGUUAGUACUUGGAUGGGAGACCGCCUGGGAAUACCAGGUGCUGUAAGCA
This 118-nucleotide ribosomal RNA is filed under the name Salmo salar (Atlantic salmon). The record is from RNAcentral. Lineage: Eukaryota; Metazoa; Chordata; Actinopteri; Salmoniformes; Salmonidae.